This 529-nucleotide ribosomal RNA is filed under the name uncultured bacterium. Its description in RNAcentral is "bacterial SSU rRNA". It matches the Rfam family "Bacterial small subunit ribosomal RNA", at positions 777 to 1314 of the family's 1533-position model. The record is from RNAcentral.
AAUAGAUACCCUGGUAGUCCACGCAGUAAACGAUGCAGACUAGGCGUGGGGGGACUUGACCCCCUCCGUGCCGAAGCCAACGCGUGAAGUCUGCCGCCUGGGGAGUACGGCCGCAAGGCUAAAACGUCAAAGGAAUUGACGGGGGGCCCGCACAAGCGGCGGAGCGUGCGGUUUAAUUCGACGCAACGCGCAGAACCUUACCAGGGCUUGACAUGCUCCUGCAGAGCCGUGAAAGCGGUUGGCCUUCGAGGGUGGAGCACAGGUGCUGCAUGGCUGUCGUCAGCUCGUGUCGUGAGAUGUUGGGUUAAGUCCCGCAACGAGCGCAACCCCCGUGGCUAGUUGCCGAUGGUUUCUAGCCAGACUGCCGGUAGCAAGCCGGAGGAGGGUGGGGAUGAUGUCAAGUCAGCAUGGCCCUUACGUCCUGGGCUACACGCACGCUACAAUGGCCGGGACAAUGGGCUGCCAAACCGCAAGGUGGAGCGAAUCCCACAAACCCGGGUCUCAGUUCAGAUCGCGGGCUGCAACUCCG